This 433-nucleotide ribosomal RNA is filed under the name uncultured bacterium. Its description in RNAcentral is "partial 16S ribosomal RNA". It matches the Rfam family "Bacterial small subunit ribosomal RNA", at positions 29 to 507 of the family's 1533-position model. The record is from RNAcentral.
AACGAACGCUGGCGGCAUGCCUAACACAUGCAAGUCGAACGAGACCUUCGGAUCUAGUGGCUCACGGGUGCGUAGCGCGUGGGAACCUGCCCUUAUAUUCGGAAUAACUCCCCGAAAUGGGUGCUAAUACCGGGUAAUGUCUUCUGACCAAAGAUUUAUCGCCUUUGUAUGAGCCCGCGUUGUUUUAGCUAGUUGGUAGGGUAAAAGCCUACCAAGGCGACGAUCCAUAGCUGGUCAGAGAGGAUGAUCAGCCACACUGGGACUGAGACACGGUCCAGAAUCCUAGGGGAGGCAGCAGUGGGGAAUAUUGGAAUAUGGGCGAAAGCCUGAUCCAGCAAUGCCGCGUGAGUGAUGAAGGCCUUAGGGUUGUACAGCUCUUUUACCCGCGAUGAUAAUGACAGUACCGGGAGAAUAAGCACCGGCUAACUCCGUG